UGGGUAGGGGAGCGUUCUGUAAGCCUGUGAAGGUGGCCUGUGAGGGUGGCUGGAGGUAUCAGAAGUGCGAAUGCUGACAUAAGUAACGAUAAAGCGGGUGAAAAGCCCGCUCGCCGGAAGACCAAGGGUUCCUGUCCAACGUUAAUCGGGGCAGGGUGAGUCGACCCCUAAGGCGAGGCCGAAAGGCGUAGUCGAUGGGAAACGGGUUAAUAUUCCCGUACUUGGUGUUACUGCGAAGGGGGGACGGAGAAGGCUAUGUUGGCCGGGCGACGGUUGUCCCGGUUUAAGCGUGUAGGCUGGUUUUCCAGGCAAAUCCGGAAAAUCAAGGCUGAGGCGUGACGACGAGGCACUACGGUGCUGAAGCAACAAAUGCCCUGCUUCCAGGAAAAGCCUCUAAGCAUCAGGUAACACGAAAUCGUACCCCAAACCGACACAGGUGGUCAGGUAGAGAAUACCAAGGCGCUUGAGAGAACUCGGGUGAAGGAACUAGGCAAAAUGGUGCCGUAACUUCGGGAGAAGGCACGCUGACACGUAGGUGAAGUGAUUUACUCAUGGAGCUGAAGUCAGUCGAAGAUACCAGCUGGCUGCAACUGUUUAUUAAAAACACAGCACUGUGCAAACACGAAAGUGGACGUAUACGGUGUGACGCCUGCCCGGUGCCGGAAGGUUAAUUGAUGGGGUCAGCGUAAGCGAAGCUCCUGAUCGAAGCCCCGGUAAACGGCGGCCGUAACUAUAACGGUCCUAAGGUAGCGAAAUUCCUUGUCGGGUAAGUUCCGACCUGCACGAAUGGCGUAAUGAUGGCCAGGCUGUCUCCACCCGAGACUCAGUGAAAUUGAACUCGCUGUGAAGAUGCAGUGUACCCGCGGCAAGACGGAAAGACCCCGUGAACCUUUACUAUAGCUUGACACUGAACAUUGAGCCUUGAUGUGUAGGAUAGGUGGGAGGCUUUGAAGUGUGGACGCCAGUCUGCAUGGAGCCGACCUUGAAAUACCACCCUUUAAUGUUUGAUGUUCUAACGUGGACCCGUAAUCCGGGUUGCGGACAGUGUCUGGUGGGUAGUUUGACUGGGGCGGUCUCCUCCUAAAGAGUAACGGAGGAGCACGAAGGUUGGCUAAUCCUGGUCGGACAUCAGGAGGUUAGUGCAAUGGCAUAAGCCAGCUUGACUGCGAGCGUGACGGCGCGAGCAGGUGCGAAAGCAGGUCAUAGUGAUCCGGUGGUUCUGAAUGGAAGGGCCAUCGCUCAACGGAUAAAAGGUACUCCGGGGAUAACAGGCUGAUACCGCCCAAGAGUUCAUAUCGACGGCGGUGUUUGGCACCUCGAUGUCGGCUCAUCACAUCCUGGGGCUGAAGUAGGUCCCAAGGGUAUGGCUGUUCGCCAUUUAAAGUGGUACGCGAGCUGGGUUUAGAACGUCGUGAGACAGUUCGGUCCCUAUCUGCCGUGGGCGCUGGAGAACUGAGGGGGGCUGCUCCUAGUACGAGAGGACCGGAGUGGACGCAUCACUGGUGUUCGGGUUGUCAUGCCAAUGGCACUGCCCGGUAGCUAAAUGCGGAAGAGAUAAGUGCUGAAAGCAUCUAAGCACGAAACUUGCCCCGAGAUGAGUUCU
RNAcentral lists this ribosomal RNA (1603 nucleotides) under Salmonella enterica. RNAcentral's name for it is "bacterial LSU rRNA". It matches the Rfam family "Bacterial large subunit ribosomal RNA", at positions 1225 to 2812 of the family's 2925-position model. Lineage: Bacteria; Pseudomonadati; Pseudomonadota; Gammaproteobacteria; Enterobacterales; Enterobacteriaceae. The record is from RNAcentral.